This 658-nucleotide ribosomal RNA is filed under the name uncultured soil bacterium. RNAcentral describes it as "bacterial SSU rRNA". It matches the Rfam family "Bacterial small subunit ribosomal RNA", at positions 35 to 675 of the family's 1533-position model. The record is from RNAcentral.
GCUGGCGGCGUGCCUAAUACAUGCAAGUCGAGCGGAUUGAUUCAGAGCUUGCUCUGAUGAUGUCAGCGGCGGACGGGUGAGUAACACGUGGGUAACCUGCCUGACAGACUGGGAUAACGCUUGGAAACGAGUGCUAAUACCAGAUAGUCUUUUGAACUGCAUGGUUCGAAAGGGAAAGAAGCUAUCGCUUCACUGUCAGAUGGACCCGCGGCGCAUUAGCUAGUUGGUGAGGUAACGGCUCACCAAGGCGACGAUGCGUAGCCGACCUGAGAGGGUGACCGGCCACACUGGGACUGAGACACGGCCCAGACUCCUACGGGAGGCAGCAGUAGGGAAUCUUCCGCAAUGGGCGCAAGCCUGACGGAGCAACGCCGCGUGAGUGAUGAAGGCCUUCGGGUUGUAAAACUCUGUCUUCUGUGAAGAACAAGCCUGUGAGUGGAAAGCUCAGGCCUUGACGGUAACAGAGGAGGAAGCCCCGGCUAACUACGUGCCAGCAGCCGCGGUAAUACGUAGGGGGCAAGCGUUGUCCGGAAUCACUGGGCGUAAAGCGCGCGCAGGCGGCGAUCUACGUCCGGGGUGAAAGCCCAGAGCUCAACUCUGGGACUGCCUUGGAUACGGGAUCGCUUGAGGAUCGGAGAGGCAAGGGGAAUUCCACGUG